GGGAGUGUGGUGUAGUCGUUUGAGUAUUAGACUACAACUCUGGAGACCAGGGUUCUAAUCCCAGCUCAGCCA
Molecule: non-coding RNA, 72 nt
Organism: Phrynosoma platyrhinos (Desert horned lizard)
Lineage: Eukaryota; Metazoa; Chordata; Lepidosauria; Squamata; Phrynosomatidae
Source: the annotation of a GenBank genome assembly